GAGCUGCCUGGUGUGUACUCCUAAUGGGGUCUCGGGACCCAUCAGAGCCUUAAUCCACUCUUUACCUCCACUAACACACAGAUGAGGAAAAAGGUGUGCUCCUUAGUUUCGACAUAGGAUGUUUUCCAGUAGCUUCCCUGACAAGGGAAGCAUGACAGAGGCACCUGGUGCUUCACAUCCCUGAGGUUCUCCCCUCUGCGCUAGACUCCUGCCCGGCUCCAGCACCUCCAAUAAGUAAAUUUACUUAAAAAUUAUACUCCUGACAACAAAAAGAGCUCCACAUACUGAAGAUUCUAAUAUUAUGUCAAAGAAGCAGUAAGGAGAAGAGGAAAAUUAAGAGCAGAAAAAAGAGGCGAACCUCUGAAAGAUACAACAAACAGAAGAAGAAGAAAAGUAUAUUGAUAUUAACCAUAUACAACAUUAGCCCC
Molecule: long non-coding RNA, 428 nt
Filed under: Equus caballus (horse)
Lineage: Eukaryota; Metazoa; Chordata; Mammalia; Perissodactyla; Equidae
Description: lncRNA (ENSECAG00000050923.1)
Source: RNAcentral